Molecule: unclassified non-coding RNA, 378 nt
Filed under: plant metagenome
Description: partial contains 5.8S ribosomal RNA, internal transcribed spacer 2, and large subunit ribosomal RNA
Rfam family: 5.8S ribosomal RNA (bases 1-105)
Source: RNAcentral
GAAAUGCGAUAAGUAAUGUGAAUUGCAGAAUUCAGUGAAUCAUCGAAUCUUUGAACGCACCUUGCGCUCCUUGGUAUUCCUUGGAACAUGCCUAUUUGAGUAUCAUGAAAUCUUCAAAGUAAAUCUUUUGUUAACUCAAUUGGUUUCUACUUUGGUAUUGGAGGUCUUUGCAGCUUCACACCUGCUCCUCUUUGUUCAUUAGCUGGAUCUCAGUGUUAUGCUUGGUUCCACUCGGCGUGAUAAGUUAUCUAUCGCUGAGGACACUGUAAAAGGUGGCCAAGGUAAAUGCAGAUGAACCGCUUCUAAUAGUCCAUUGACUUGGACAAUACUUUUAUGAUCUGAUCUAAAAUCAGGUAGGACUACCCGCUGAACUUAAGC